UACAGAGGGUGCAAGCGUUAAUCGGAGUUACUGGGCGUAAAGGGCGCGUAGGCGGAUUGUUAAGUUGGAUGUGAAAUCCCUGGGCUUAACCUAGGAAUGGCAUUCAAAACUGGCGAUCUGGAGUACUGUAGAGGGUAGUGGAAUUUCCGGUGUAGCGGUGAAAUGCGUAGAGAUCGGAAGGAACACCAGUGGCGAAGGCGGCUACCUGGACAGAUACUGACGCUGAGGCGCGAGAGCGUGGGGAGCAAACAGG
Molecule: ribosomal RNA, 253 nt
Filed under: uncultured bacterium
Lineage: Bacteria
Description: partial 16S ribosomal RNA
Rfam family: Bacterial small subunit ribosomal RNA
Source: RNAcentral